AACAGCAGCGGAAAAAGACGAUCUUAGCGGGGCUUCAGCUCCACUCCACAAGCAAAACUUUUUUUGAAGAGACACUCCACAAGCAAAACUCAACUGGGGUCUGAGCCUUAUCCUCUAACUCCGUCUUCAGCUCAGAAGCACUACACUUCUGAAAAGGGGGAAUAAUAGCAAGGCUGAGUACAACCACCGUAAUCAGCAAGCCACACCAAUGAUACAGACGUGCAAGGAGAUAUAAGGACGGCUUGUGGCUAUUUGCAUAAAGGCGGUUGUAACACAUUUUAUUGAGCAAAGCAGUAAAACGGUUGAUUAAUUAAAGUAAUAUUAAAUCUCCACUGAUCAACGCUACACCACGUUGAACAUGCCCAACCAUCCCACCUGAAAUAACCAGUGCAUUGAGUCAAUUUAUUAAGGGUGAAACUAAUCACUGUGAAUCUAGUCGAUCACCCAUAAUCGCGAGCACGGCUAUUCGAAUAGUUUUACUCUGGCCAGAGGUCCACAACUGUACCCAGAAGACACAAUUCACCAGCAUGUCACCAUGUCAUCAUGUGCCCAUGAUGAACACGUCACCAUGUCGAGUGAUUGUGACAAGACACUUCAUAUAACCUCCCCCCUGACCAAUCGCACCACACCUCAGGUUUCGCUCUUGUCCCCAACAGGCAACGGGCAGCCCCUCCCUCGUGCCAUGGUGAAUCCGGAAGCCGAUCAACCGAACACCCCGGCCGACCCAACUCCAUCACGCUGACCCUAGCCUCGAUACGUCAGCCAGAGGAAAGCUAUACUACAGAUCAAGCAGUUACCCAUUCCCGCUUGUGGCAAGCGUUGUAUGUCCUCCAGGGUUUUGCGCGAACCGGUCCUUAAUUGCCAUAGGUGCGACUCGCAAAACCAUGCACCCACAGCCCACCCAUUCAGUCAAAUUUUAGUUGGAUAAUUACGACCAUGAAACAUGGCAAGAUGUCUCGAGCACGCAACUCGUCAAGAUAGUAGAUGUCUAAUAAUGUAAUUAUCUUAUUUUGUGAGCUAGUGGUAAUUAAGCAUGGCUAAGCAUAUAUAGUUCUAGUUAGAUCCACAAAAGUAUCAUGAGUUAGAUAAAUAAUCACCCAAGGUUGACAAAGGAUGGGUAACAAGUAAACAUGGCACAUGCGAGCAGAUAGGUAGAACCCUAAUCCCAUGUAAUUAGCAAGACAUGCAGUUUCAUUUGCAAACGAUAAAACAUUUAUAAAUUAGGCUCAAAAUGCUCAAGGGGAAUGUGUGACUUGCCUUGCUUCUUCAAAUGAUCUUCCGAACUCUGAUCCUCGCGAACGCGAUCUUCCGAAACGGUGAAAUCUACGCGCUGGCACGCAAAACGAGGAAAAGCUCUAAUAAAAACCAAGUAAACAGUACAUGAAAAGUAAACAAACAUGUAGAUCUUAAUUUUAUAUGAAUUUUGCAAGUUGAAUGGCUUAAUUUGGAGUUCGUAUGAAUUAGAUAUGAAUUUUAGAAGCUUUUGAGCCAUUUAAAUGAAUUUCCAUAAGUAAUACCGAUUUAUUGCGCCAUUCUUAAUUAAUUUCUCAAAGGAAAAUGGGCUAUGCUGACGUCAGCAAAGGGGGUGCCGGCGCCGACAGGUGGGCCCCACAUGUCAGCGGGACACAAGGGAGAGGGCGCACGGUGGACGCGGUCCACCGUGGCCUCGGGCGUGCCGUGGACCAGGACCACGGCGGUCCACGGGCGGCCACGGGACAGGGCGGGGGUGGUCGAGACCGGCCCGGUCGAGCGACGGCGAACGGCGGCGGCGGCGCAACGCGGCGGCUGACGAAGGAGGGGAAAAAGAGAGGAGGGAGAUGCUCACCGAGUGCCUGU
Molecule: long non-coding RNA, 1836 nt
Filed under: Oryza sativa (Asian cultivated rice)
Lineage: Eukaryota; Viridiplantae; Streptophyta; Magnoliopsida; Poales; Poaceae
Description: long non-coding RNA (OSAT_LNC000671)
Source: RNAcentral